CCUACGGGACGCAGCAGUGAGGAAUAUUGGUCAAUGGGCGCGAGCCUGAACCAGCCAAGUAUCGUGAAGGAUGACUGCCCUACGGGUUGUAAACUACUUUUAUAAAGGAAUAAAGUGAGGCACGUGUGCCUUUUUGUAUGUACUUUAUGAAUAAGGAUCGGCUAACUCCGUGCCAGCAGCCGCGGUAAUACGGAGGAUCCGAGCGUUAUCCGGAUUUAUUGGGUUUAAAGGGUGCGUAGAUGGGUUGUUAAGUCAGUUGUGAAAGUUUGCGGCUCAACCGUAAAAUUGCAAUUUGUACUGGUAGUCUUGAGUACAGUUGAGGUAGGCGGAAUUCGUGGUGUAGCGGUGAAAUGCUUAGAUAUCACGAAGAACUCCGAUUGCGAAGGCAGCUUACUAACCGGCCACUGACAUUGAUGCUCGAAAGUGUGGGUAUCAAACAGGAUAGAUACCCGUGUAGUC
This 459-nucleotide ribosomal RNA is filed under the name uncultured bacterium. RNAcentral describes it as "partial 16S ribosomal RNA". It matches the Rfam family "Bacterial small subunit ribosomal RNA", at positions 338 to 795 of the family's 1533-position model. The record is from RNAcentral.